Molecule: long non-coding RNA, 531 nt
Filed under: Coffea arabica (coffee)
Lineage: Eukaryota; Viridiplantae; Streptophyta; Magnoliopsida; Gentianales; Rubiaceae
Description: long non-coding RNA (CARA_LNC007374)
Source: RNAcentral
UUUUGAGUGAUGGCAAUUCAAGAAGCAAACAAAAAAGACAAACUUCGUCUUUUUGAAAACUAAGAAAUUUCUGUGAACAGAGAAAAAAAAAGCAUCGAUUCAAUAACGAGCACAUCCAUUUAAAACCAUGCUUAACCAACAUAAAGUCACGUAGAAGAUUGAGUCCUAUUUAUUUACCUUACGAAGAAGUUUGAAGGAGUACUUCAUGGUGGGAUGCCCGGAAGUUCUGGAAGAACCCUUGAAAGAAGAGUUUUCAAGGGCUCUAGGGAGACUACGAAUGAGGCACAAGAGAAUGUAGGCUGCGGUAAUCCACGUAUAUAAAUAGUGAACCAAAUCUUAGGCUUGUGCUGUAAUAGAAUAUUUACACAAUCUAAUUAUGGUUAAUUUCUAUAUAUCUGUAUCUCAACUUUGCUAAUGAAUUAAUUUCACGGAAAAGAAACUGGGGCAACAAUCAUUUCUGCAAAUAGCUAUUUAACAGCAAUGAAAGUAAGAAAGGCAACAUAAAUCAAUCUCCAAGGGAAAGAGAGAGAA